RNAcentral lists this long non-coding RNA (257 nucleotides) under Drosophila guanche. The record is from RNAcentral. Lineage: Eukaryota; Metazoa; Arthropoda; Insecta; Diptera; Drosophilidae.
UAUUUAUCCAAAGAAAAGUGUGCCAGGGAAUACUUCAGGCUGUUCUACAGCUCGCCUGAAAUACGCGAGCGAUUCCAGGUUAAACUAAAACCAUGUCCCAGAACAGUACGGGAAACAUUGCUGAGUCAACCGACCUGCUCAGUUAUUGGUGAAAGCAUUGAGGUACCUAUGGAACUUGAUAGCUUUGAUCUGCCAUCCGAUCAACCUUCAGAUCAACCAAAGCGCAACGAUACGCACAGAGAAUCUGUAAAUGAACC